RNAcentral lists this ribosomal RNA (253 nucleotides) under uncultured bacterium. RNAcentral describes it as "partial 16S ribosomal RNA". It matches the Rfam family "Bacterial small subunit ribosomal RNA", at positions 524 to 776 of the family's 1533-position model. The record is from RNAcentral.
UACGUAGGGGGCAAGCGUUGUCCGGAUUUAUUGGGCGUAAAGAGCGUGUAGGCGGCCAGGUAGGUCAGCUGUGAAAACUCGAGGCUUAACCUCGAGACGCCGGCUGAAACCCUCUGGCUAGAGUCCGGAAGAGGAGAGUGGAAUUCCUGGUGUAGAGGUGAAAUUCGUAGAUAUCGGGAGGAACACCGGUGGCGAAGGCGGCGACCUGGGUAGAUACUGACGCUGAGGUGCGAAAGCGUGGGGAGCAAACAGG